UGGGGAAUCUUGCGCAAUGGGCGGAAGCCUGACGCAGCAACGCCGCGUGAGGGAUGACGGCCUUCGGGUUGUAAACCUCUUUCAGCGAUCGUACGAAGGCAUCGAUCUUGUUGGCGGGUUGACGGUAGGUCGAGAAGAAGCACCGGCCAACUACGUGCCAGCAGCCGCGGUAAUACGUAGGGUGCGAGCGUUGUCCGGAAUUAUUGGGCGUAAAGAGCUCGUAGGCGGUGUGUCACGUCGGCCGUGAAAACCUGGGGCUUAACUCUGGGCGUGCGGUCGAUACGGGCAUCACUAGAGUUCGGCAGGGAGACUGGAAUUCCUGGUGUAGCGGUGAAAUGCGCAGAUAUCAGGAGGAACACCGGUGGCGAAGGCGGGUCUCUGGGCCGAUACUGACGCUGAGGAGCGAAAAGCAUGGGUAGCGAACA
This 425-nucleotide ribosomal RNA is filed under the name uncultured Actinomycetospora sp. RNAcentral describes it as "bacterial SSU rRNA". It matches the Rfam family "Bacterial small subunit ribosomal RNA", at positions 355 to 774 of the family's 1533-position model. Lineage: Bacteria; Bacillati; Actinomycetota; Actinomycetes; Pseudonocardiales; Pseudonocardiaceae. The record is from RNAcentral.